UUCAGUCUUUUUUAGUAGCCACUUAGUCACAAACACUGGUCAAAGUUAUCGUUCAUAAUUGUUUUUUGAAUUUUUAACAUACAAACAAAUAUAAAUGCUAAAUUUGGCCAGUGUUUGUGACUAAGUGGCUACUAAAAAGACUGGA
Non-coding RNA from Pelobates cultripes (western spadefoot toad), 145 nucleotides. The record is from the annotation of a GenBank genome assembly. NCBI's taxonomy places the organism in Eukaryota, Metazoa, Chordata, Amphibia, Anura, Pelobatidae.